AUUAACAGCAGUGAGUGUCGCGACUGUGAUUCGACUGUGAUAUAUCAUGUUAGACUGUGAUAUGUUGUGUUUGGAGUUAACAUCUGAAGUGACGACUCAGUCUGGGUGUAGUUUUAUCUUUAGAUCUUAUGAACUUUGAGCUAUUUGUUUUGUUUUCGAGUUGCGCGUAAUGUUUGUAUGCCGAUAGAAACAUAAAAUCAAAACAACCGAGUGACGGGGUUGUAGUAGGCUGUAAUCGGAAGAUGUCUCUGAUAAAUUUCAGUAGUGAACGAGAGAGCAAUAAGCGACGAGAGGAAUUACGGACGGCGAGAGAAACAGCUUUAAAGAAGGCAGAGGCAGAGUUUUACCAGAAGAAGUUGGAGGAGGAGAGGAGGAGGCAGCGGGGCGACGACAAGUGGAUGGCACCGUCAGUCGAGAGUCGAGUGAGGGAGUCCAGCAAGUCUGACCAACAUAAAAAGUCGAAAAAGAAGAAGGAAAAGAAGAAGAAGGAGAAAAAGAAGAAGGCAAAGAAGAAAAAGCACCAGUCAGAGAGUUCCUGUUCGGACAGUGACGGAGAGGAUGAUGACGAAGAAGAGUGGGUGGAGAAGACAGAUGAGAAGAAAGAAGAUUGUGGUGACAGAACUAUCAGAAAGGAUAAUGUGCCUCAGGAAAGAGAUGCCUGGAUGAUCCCGACUGCUGACAUUUCGAACCUGCUAGAACGUGGAACGGACAACACUGAAAUCCGUGGUGGUGUCAGAGAAAAGCCAGAUAGUGACAGGCUGAACCUCGAUAUGAUGGGACAGAGUUCACGAGAGCUCAACCCGUACUGGAAGGACGGCGGGACCGGCUUGCCGGAAGACCGGCCCCAGCGGAGGGAGCCCGCGGCCCGACAGAAGAACGUCGGAGACGGCGGAGCAGAGUGGCUGCGGCGCGCACUGCGGCGGGCCGAGGAGCAGGCGGCCGCAGAGGGCCGCCCACUGGAGGAGGUGGCCGCCGAGCGCUGGGGGUCUCUGAGACACCUGCAGGACAUGAUAGCCACAGCAGAAGGACAGAGGGACGGCGGUAGGAGGCGACCGGCAUUCAGGAGGCCCGCCGAGGACGGCAGCUCGCCCAGUCCUGUCGGGGACCGGAGAAGCAGGGAGGAGCGAGGGGGUGGGGAAGGGGGCCACCUCAGUGGGGCCGACAGCCGCAGAGAGCGCAGGGGCAGCCCAGACAGGAGGGACAGGGACAGGGACAGGCGCGGAGACUCCAAGAGGUCGUACGGGCACAGAGAUCACCGCCGGCCUGAAAGAGCAGCUUGGAAAAAGUCUGACCCGAGAGUCGUGGAAGAGAGGACGAGGGGCAGAAGUAGUACUCCGACAAAUGCCGAAAAGACCACACGGAAACAAGCAGGCAGCAGUUCUGACGGCUCUUCAUCGGAGUCCGAAGAAGAAAAGGGAGGACCGGUGGGUGCUGGAGCCCCACUCACGGAUCUGGAGAUGAAUGAGCUGGCGGCCAAGCUGGUCAAAGCAGAAAUCCUCGGCAAUGAGGAGCUCGUAUCUCAGCUGCGAGCAAAGCUGGACGCAGCCCGUGCCUCUCGCAAAGCUGGCGACGACGACAAGCGUGGCCGAGAAACGCGGGACGAGGAGGAGGUUGUGGUGCUCACCAGGACAGAUGCCAGGGGCAACGUGCGGCCCGCAGCUGCCCCCAGUUUCGCGCCGGACAGGGAGGCCGACCUAUGGGGAGGUCGUCGAGGCAGGAAGGCGAACAGGAAGAAAACACACGAUUCCAAAGGACAACGUGUUCAGUAUUUUGCAGACGACUCUAAAUUCAGUCUGCAGGACCUGUACCAACGCGAGAAAUUCAUCUCUGCAGCAGACCAGCAGGCAGAGUUUGUGAAGCUCUCAGCAAAGGGUGUGGAGGGUGGAGCUGCAGAGACGGGGCGGCCGAGUGCAGAUGCGGAACACCGGCGGGCCGUGUCGGACAGCAGGUGGGUGGCGAAGGCGCUGGAGAGCUGCCGCUGGUGCCUGGGCGGCCGGCAGCUGCAGAAGCACCUCAUCGCCGCACUCGGCGACCAGGUGUACCUGUGCGUCCCACCUCAUCGCUCAAUGGUGGAGGGCCACUGUUUGCUCAUCCCAUCUCAACACGUCUCCUGCUCGACACAGCUGGAUGAAAAUGUCUGGGAUGAGAUGCAGAGAUUUCGCAAGGCCCUGGUGGCGAUGUUUUUGGGGCGAGGACUGGACGUCGUGUUCUUUGAGACGGCAGUACACCUGAGCAAGAUGCCUCACAUGGUGCUGGAGUGCGUCCCAGUUCCAAAAGAGGCAGGAGACAUGGCUCCUGUCUACUUUAAGAAAGCCAUCAUGGAGUGCGAGAUGGAGUGGUCGAUGAACAAGAAGCUGGUGGACCUAGACGGCAGCAAGAAUGUUCGGCGUGCCAUUCCCAGAGGACUGCCGUACUUUUGGGUGGGGUUCGGCAAUGAAGACAAGUUUGCACACAUUAUUGAAGAUGAGAAGCAUUUCCCCAAGAAUUUUGCUCAGGAAAUAGUGGGUGGCAUGCUGGACAUAGAUCACAUGCUGUGGCGAAAGCCAAAGAUGGAAAAUUUUGAUGCUCAGCGCCAGAAGGUAAUGCAGUUAGUUCAAUGGUGGAAGCCUCAUGACUUCACACGAGGAACGAAACGUUCUCAUGACAGCAGUUCAUCAUCAUCACCAUCAUCGUCAUCAUCAGACUCUGAAUGAUAAACUGUAAAACGACGUCAUGAUAUGAAAUGCCUCUGUUCCACCAAUGAACCAGCUACUACUAACAUUCAGGUACUUUGCCUCUGGCGAUUUCUUUCUGUCCAUUGGAGACUUUAUUGACACUGACAAGGAGACAGCCAGCAGGAUUAUUAAAAAUAUUUCUCAAGAGAUUGGCCAGUCUUCUUCUAGUGUGAUAGGUAAUUUAGGAGAAGAUGUUGACAAUGAAGAGACUGAUUAACAUAUUAGAGGAAGAAUACGGCUAAGAAAUAUGGAUGGAGUAGAAGAAUAAAAAGAAAAUCCAAAAUAACAACAGGUCAGGAAUACACCAACAUAAAUUGUAACACUGUGCCAGCAAAUGUAUUCAUGCCUGUUGAAUAUAACUGCCACCAUAAAUGCAGUGAGUAAGUUACUGCUCAAAAUCAGAAAAUGACGCAUAACAUGUAUUACCAGUUAUCUUCAUUGGACUCGCAAAUGACUUGGUUAUGUAAUGUUAAAAAACUAUAGUACCCAAAUGAUGUAAGAAAAGGUGUUCUAUUCAGGCACCUAACAACAA
RNA transcript from Schistocerca cancellata (South American locust), 3246 nucleotides. It is a transcript of the gene named CWF19-like protein 2, with no coding region annotated. The transcript has 16 exons. NCBI's taxonomy places the organism in Eukaryota, Metazoa, Arthropoda, Insecta, Orthoptera, Acrididae. The record is from RefSeq and is a predicted model, not a curated record.